UUCUCUUCUCAUGUCUCCGAUUUCCCACAUGAUCUUGGGGAUUGCAUCUCAGUUCAGGACUGUGAUGGUUUAUAUUGUCACCUUGGUGGGAUCUAGAAGCAUCUCUGAGAUACAUCUGUGCACAACUGCGAGGAGUUUUAGGCGAAUUGAGCAAGUGCAGCUGGAGAUGAGAACUCCGCUGAAGAUGUCGGCCUGAGGACCGGGUGAGAUUGGACAGCUUGUGGGAUCUGCCAAGCGUCCAAUGUGGCCUCUCGGUAGAUGCUACCCACUGGAUUUGGGUCUCAAUAAUGAAACACACAAAGAAUUACCCUUUUUUAUGAGAUGUACUGAGGAAGAUUUAGUUUCAAUAAUCAUCGACUUAUUUAAUGAAAACAAUGCUUUAUGGAAAAACAGUAUAAAUGUAACUUCGAGAGGCUGGACGCUUA
Mus musculus (house mouse) is the source of this 425-nucleotide long non-coding RNA. RefSeq annotates it as predicted gene, 40249. Lineage: Eukaryota; Metazoa; Chordata; Mammalia; Rodentia; Muridae. The record is from RefSeq and is a predicted model, not a curated record. The transcript is spliced from 3 exons.